Hydra vulgaris (swiftwater hydra) is the source of this 873-nucleotide non-coding RNA. The record is from RefSeq and is a predicted model, not a curated record. NCBI's taxonomy places the organism in Eukaryota, Metazoa, Cnidaria, Hydrozoa, Anthoathecata, Hydridae.
UCCUAAUAAAGCUCUUUUUUUGUUUCUGAAGUUUGUUUACAAAGGCAAAUAUAAAAAAUAAUUUUAACCGUAAAAAAGUCGGCCUUCGCUAAUUUUACGGAAAAUGAGCUGUCGCGGCCUGUUUAAGAAGGCCUUGGUAACAGCAAACACUAUAUAAAUACGGGGGCGGAUAAGGGGGCCAGUUAGAAAAAAAAAAUUUUUUUGCAUAAUUUUUAUUUUUAUUAUUAGAUAACAGUAUAAAAUGGAAAAAAAUGAGUUGCACAAAUAUAUAGAUUCCUUAACAAAUAAUCAUAGCACUAUUAUUAUAGAUUUCUUGAGAUUACUUGAAUCAACAAGGUCCACCAUUGAACCAUCUUCAUAUGGUACAGUUGAUAAGUUCUAAAAACCUGUUAUGCAUUCCUUAUCAAUGCAACAUUUAUUUUUUAUAACUUUUAACCUUGGUUCCAACUUUAACUGCAACGUGUGGACCGCCUUCAUCUGGUACGAUUGUUUCAUUGUGGUCUGGGUCAAGUGGACCGUGUACAUCUUCUACGAUUGUUUCAUGUUCAUCCACAACAACUGUUCCACCUGCUCAACCUUCUGCUGAGCUUACAUAUGAAGCCUACAAAAUUUACAGGACCCAGCAUCCUGGAACCACCAACAACAAGUCAUAUUUGCGUUGGGUCCGAUUUGGGGGCAAAGAUGACCUCCUUUUUAGAUGGCCCUAUUACAACUCUGGGGACAACGGCAGAGGAGGUACUGGAAGUGGUCGUACCAGAAGAGGUUGACAAAGGACGAAUGGUGGCAGCCAUUAUGCUAAAUAUAAACAGUUAAAAAGUUAACAUGGUGCCACUAUUCCUUUAUUUUUCUUUAAUAAUAUACAAUAUUAGUUAA